CUACGGGUCGCACCAGUGGGGAAUAUUGGACAAUGGGCGCAAGCCUGAUCCAGCAAUACCGCGUGUGUGAAGAAGGCCUGCGGGUUGUAAAGCACUUUCAAUUGUGAAGAAAAGCGAGGGCUUAAUACGCUCUUGUCUUGACGUUAACUUUAGAAGAAGCACCGGCUAACUCUGUGCCAGCAGCCGCGGUAAUACAGAGGGUGCGAGCGUUAAUCGGAAUUACUGGGCGUAAAGCGUACGUAGGCGGUUUAGUAAGUCAGAUGUGAAAGCCCUGGGCUCAACCUGGGGACUGCAUUUGAAACUGCUAGACUAGAGUGUGGUAGAGGGAAGUGGAAUUCCGGGUGUAGCGGUGAAAUGCGUAGAUAUCCGGAGGAACACCAGUGGCGAAGGCGACUUCCUGGACCAACACUGACGCUGAGGUACGAAAGCGUGGGUAGCAAACAGGAUUAGAUACCCGCGUAGUC
Molecule: ribosomal RNA, 464 nt
Filed under: uncultured bacterium
Lineage: Bacteria
Description: partial 16S ribosomal RNA
Rfam family: Bacterial small subunit ribosomal RNA
Source: RNAcentral